Molecule: transfer RNA, 73 nt
Filed under: Paramuricea clavata
Lineage: Eukaryota; Metazoa; Cnidaria; Anthozoa; Malacalcyonacea; Plexauridae
Rfam family: tRNA
About the family: Transfer RNA (tRNA) molecules are approximately 80 nucleotides in length. Their secondary structure includes four short double-helical elements and three loops (D, anti-codon, and T loops).
Source: Rfam by way of RNAcentral
GUUUCUGUAGUAUAGUGGUCAUCACGUCCGCUUCACACGCGGAAGGUUCCCAGUUCGAACCUGGGCGGAAACA